This 549-nucleotide ribosomal RNA is filed under the name uncultured bacterium. RNAcentral describes it as "bacterial SSU rRNA". It matches the Rfam family "Bacterial small subunit ribosomal RNA", at positions 355 to 896 of the family's 1533-position model. The record is from RNAcentral.
UAGGGAAUCUUCGGCAAUGGACGGAAGUCUGACCGAGCAACGCCGCGUGAGUGAAGAAGGUUUUCGGAUCGUAAAGCUCUGUUGUAAGAGAAGAACGAGUGUGAGAGUGGAAAGUUCACACUGUGACGGUAUCUUACCAGAAAGGGACGGCUAACUACGUGCCAGCAGCCGCGGUAAUACGUAGGUCCCGAGCGUUGUCCGGAUUUAUUGGGCGUAAAGCGAGCGCAGGCGGUUAGAUAAGUCUGAAGUUAAAGGCUGUGGCUUAACCAUAGUACGCUUUGGAAACUGUUUAACUUGAGUGCAAGAGGGGAGAGUGAAUUCCAUGUGUAGCGGUGAAAUGCGUAGAUAUAUGGAGGAACACCGGUGGCGAAAGCGGCUCUCUGGCUUGUAACUGACGCUGAGGCUCGAAAGCGUGGGGAGCAAACAGGAUUAGAUACCCUGGUAGUCCACGCCGUAAACGAUGAGUGCUAGGUGUUAGACCCUUUCCGGGGUUUAGUGCCGCAGCUAACGCAUUAAGCACUCCGCCUGGGGAGUACGACCGCAAGGUUG